RNAcentral lists this ribosomal RNA (432 nucleotides) under uncultured bacterium. RNAcentral's name for it is "partial 16S ribosomal RNA". It matches the Rfam family "Bacterial small subunit ribosomal RNA", at positions 29 to 507 of the family's 1533-position model. The record is from RNAcentral.
AACGAACGCUGGCGGCAUGCCUAACACAUGCAAGUCGAACGAGACCUUCGGGUCUAGUGGCGCAAGUGUGCGUAACGCGUGGGAACCUGCACUUAGGUUCGGAAUAAUUCACCGAAAGGGGUGCUAAUACCGGUUAAUGUCUUCGGACCUAGGAUUUGUCGCUUUUGGAUGGGCCCGCGUUGGAUUCGCUAGUUGGUAGGGUAAAAGCCUACCAAGGCGACGAUCCAUAGCUGGUCUGAGAGGAGGAUCAGCCACACUGGGACUGAGACACGGCCCAGACUGGAAGGAGAGGCGGCGGUGGGGGAAAUAGGAGAGUGGGCGAGAGCCAGAUACGGCGAGGCGGGGAGGGUGGCGAUGGGGUUGGGGUUGUAUAGCUCUUUUACCGGAGAUGAAGAGAAGGGUCCUGGGGAAGAAGGCCCGGGCUAACACGUG